CGCCCGUUACCCAGGAUUCCAUCGCUGGCGAUAUCCUUUUGCAGUUGGUCAUCCCUGAUGAAAUUCAAAACCGUCAAGUAGCCACUGCGAUGCCUCACCUGACCACAAAAAAGAUCUCCACCAUGCUGGGCCAGUAGGUAUGCCGCAUGGUCAUGGACGACAACUUGCCGAGCAUCUCGACCGAGGGAUCCACGGAGAAGUACUUGUACCAGAUCACAUGGACGCCAAUCAAUGAGAAGGCGGUGAGCACCCUCAGUCCGUUGACGGGUCUAUUCUCCAGGCUGGGAUUCACCGGCUUCCAGGCCAGCUGCCAGUUGUAGCCGAAAUCGAAGCAGGCCAGGAUGCUGCCCAGGACUGGUGAUCCUGCCAAGCUCUUCGCAGUUCCAGCAGCUGUUCCUCGCACUUGGACAGAGUGGUGUUUUCACGUUGGGCAACCAUUACAAUUAGGUCCUUGGCCAGGAACUUUGGUUCACAGUUAUCGACAUCGCCGAGCACAGCGACAAUUUGGAUAAGGAGCAGAACGAGUAGCAUGAUUACGAUCGAUGGAUUGGAUGGAUGGCAGAACACCUCAGUACUCCACGACGGACGUCGCACAACUAAUUCUGUGCCCGGGAUGAAGCAAAGUCUAUGCGACCCACAUAACCUCCGUUUAGUUAAGACCGAGUGAUCCAUGACGCUUUUUAAGAUCCGAUCAGUCGAUUUAUGGUCACAUCUGUACUAAACCUUAGCUUGUUUUGCAGUUAGCACCAAUGACAGCAUGUUGGACUCCUCGACUGAGGUUUACCUGGUACGGGCACGGAUAACCCAUUUGUCUCGGAAAUUACUUUUACUUUUAUUGGUUUAAACAAUGCUUGAAAUCGUAAACACUAAUAAUAAGCACUCAGGAACAUAAUCAGUCUAUUAAAAAACAAUAAAUAUACUGCAAAUAGUAAUAAAACAAAUAACAACUA
Molecule: long non-coding RNA, 950 nt
Organism: Drosophila sechellia
Lineage: Eukaryota; Metazoa; Arthropoda; Insecta; Diptera; Drosophilidae
Exons: 3
Source: RefSeq, a predicted model, not a curated record